This 253-nucleotide ribosomal RNA is filed under the name uncultured bacterium. Its description in RNAcentral is "partial 16S ribosomal RNA". It matches the Rfam family "Bacterial small subunit ribosomal RNA", at positions 524 to 776 of the family's 1533-position model. The record is from RNAcentral.
GACGAACCGUGCAAACGUUGUUCGGAAUCACUGGGCUUAAAGGGCGCGUAGGCGGGUCAGCAAGUCCGGGGUGAAAUCUUUCGGCUCAACCGGAAAAGUGCCUUGGAUACUGCUGGUCUGGAGGGAGGUAGGGGCAGCUGGAACUUCCGGUGGAGCGGUGAAAUGUGUUGAUAUCGGAAGGAGCACCGGUGGCGAAAGCGGCGCGCUGGAUCCCCACUGACGCUGAGGCACGAAAGCCAGGGGAGCAAACGGG